CAAGUUAACUCAGAGACACAGACUGAUGCGACAAAACCAGAGUCCAAGCUGAAGGGAAACACAACUCAACAGAGUCUGAUGAUGUCAGAUUGGUGGAAGGACCCAGUUUGUGUGCUGGUACAUUGGAGGUGAAACAUCUGGGAGAGUGGAGACCAGUGAAUGUCAUUGACUGGACCCUGAAGGAAG
Maylandia zebra (zebra mbuna) is the source of this 186-nucleotide non-coding RNA. Lineage: Eukaryota; Metazoa; Chordata; Actinopteri; Cichliformes; Cichlidae. The record is from RefSeq and is a predicted model, not a curated record.